Molecule: ribosomal RNA, 902 nt
Filed under: uncultured Actinomycetes bacterium
Lineage: Bacteria; Bacillati; Actinomycetota; Actinomycetes
Description: bacterial SSU rRNA
Rfam family: Bacterial small subunit ribosomal RNA
Source: RNAcentral
UAGAGUUUGAUCAUGGCUCAGGACGAACGCUGGCGGCGUGCUUAACACAUGCAAGUCGAACGCUGAAGCACCUUCGGGUGUGGAUGAGUGGCGAACGGGUGAGUAACACGUAGGCAAUCUGCCCCGUACUCUGGGAUAAGCCCGGGAAACUGGGUCUAAUACCGGAUAGGACAUGCCCCCGCAUGGGGGUGUGUGGAAAGCUCCGGCGGUACGGGAUGAGCCUGCGGCCUAUCAGUUUGUUGGUGGGGUGAUGGCCUACCAAGGCGACGACGGGUAGCCGGCCUGAGAGGGUGACCGGCCACACUGGGACUGAGACACGGCCCAGACUCCUACGGGAGGCAGCAGUGGGGAAUCUUGCACAAUGGGCGAAAGCCUGAUGCAGCGACGCCGCGUGAGGGAUGACGGCCUUCGGGUUGUAAACCUCUUUCGCCAGGGACGAAGCCUUUCUGAGGUGACGGUACCUGGAUAAGAAGCACCGGCUAACUACGUGCCAGCAGCCGCGGUAAUACGUAGGGUGCGAGCGUUGUCCGGAUUUACUGGGCGUAAAGAGCUCGUAGGUGGCGUGUCGCGUCGGUCGUGAAAGCCUUCAGCUCAACUGGAGGUGUGCGGCCGGUACGGGCACGCUUGAGUGCAGUAGGGGAGACUGGAAUUCCUGGUGUAGCGGUGGAAUGCGCAGAUAUCAGGAGGAACACCGGUGGCGAAGGCGGGUCUCUGGGCUGUCACUGACGCUGAGGAGCGAAAGCGUGGGGAGCGAACAGGAUUAGAUACCCUGGUAGUCCACGCCGUAAACGUUGGGCGCUAGGUGUGGGCGACCAUUGUGUUGUCUGUGCCGUAGCUAACGCUUUAAGCGCCCCGCCUGGGGAGUACGGCCGCAAGGCUAAAACUCAAAUGAAUUGACGGGG